UGGGGGAUAUUGCACAAUGGGCGAAAGCCUGAUGCAGCGACGCCGCGUGGGGGAUGAAGGCCUUCGGGUUGUAAACUUCUUUUGCUCUGAACAAGGCAUGCUAAUGGGUGUGUUGAGUGUAGGGGUUGAUUAGCGCCGGCUAACUACGUGCCAGCAGCCGCGGUAAUACGUAGGGCGCGAGCGUUGUCCGGAAUUAUUGGGCGUAAAGGGCUUGUAGGUGGCUGGUUGCGUCUGUCGUGAAAGCUCAUGGCUUAACUGUGGGUUUGCGGUGGGUACGGGCUGGCUUGAGUGCAGUAGGGGAGGCUGGAAUUCCUGGUGUAGCGGUGGAAUGCGCAGAUAUCAGGAGGAAUACCGGUGGCGAAGGCGGGUCUCUGGGCUAUUACUGACACUGAGGAGCGAAAGCAUGGGGAGCGAACAGG
This 419-nucleotide ribosomal RNA is filed under the name bacterium. RNAcentral's name for it is "partial 16S ribosomal RNA". It matches the Rfam family "Bacterial small subunit ribosomal RNA", at positions 355 to 776 of the family's 1533-position model. The record is from RNAcentral.